AAAUGCCCUGCUUCCAGGAAAAGCCUCUAAGCAUCAGGUAACAUCAAAUCGUACCCCAAACCGACACAGGUGGUCAGGUAGAGAAUACCAAGGCGCUUGAGAGAACUCGGGUGAAGGAACUAGGCAAAAUGGUGCCGUAACUUCGGGAGAAGGCACGCUGAUAUGUAGGUGAAGCGACUUGCUCGUGGAGCUGAAAUCAGUCGAAGAUACCAGCUGGCUGCAACUGUUUAUUAAAAACACAGCACUGUGCAAACACGAAAGUGGACGUAUACGGUGUGACGCCUGCCCGGUGCCGGAAG
This 299-nucleotide ribosomal RNA is filed under the name Escherichia coli. RNAcentral's name for it is "partial 23S ribosomal RNA". It matches the Rfam family "Bacterial large subunit ribosomal RNA", at positions 1595 to 1875 of the family's 2925-position model. The record is from RNAcentral. Lineage: Bacteria; Pseudomonadati; Pseudomonadota; Gammaproteobacteria; Enterobacterales; Enterobacteriaceae.